This 506-nucleotide ribosomal RNA is filed under the name uncultured bacterium. RNAcentral's name for it is "partial 16S ribosomal RNA". It matches the Rfam family "Bacterial small subunit ribosomal RNA", at positions 29 to 523 of the family's 1533-position model. The record is from RNAcentral.
AGUGAACGCUGGCGGUAGGCCUAACACAUGCAAGUCGAACGGCAGCAAAGGAGAGCUUGCUCUCUGGGUGGCGAGUGGCGGACGGGUGAGGAAUACAUCGGAAUCUACUCUGUCGUGGGGGAUAACGUAGGGAAACUUACGCUAAUACCGCAUACGACCUACGGGUGAAAGCAGGGGACCUUCGGGCCUUGCGCGAUUGAAUGAGCCGAUGUCGGAUUAGCUAGUUGGCGGGGUAAAGGCCCACCAAGGCGACGAUCCGUAGCUGGUCAGAGGGGAUGAUCAGCCCAACUGGAACUGAGACACGGGCCAGACGCCUACGGGAGGCAGCAGUGGGGAAUAGUGGACAAUGGGCGCAAGCCUGAUCCAGCCAUACCUCGUGGGUGAAGAAGGCCUUCGGGUUGUAAAGCCCUUUUGUUGGGAAAGAAAUCCAGCUGGCUAAUACCCGGUUGGGAUGACGGUACCCAAAGAAUAAGCACCGGCUAACUUCGUGCCAGCCGCCGCCGUAA